Mus musculus (house mouse) is the source of this 1329-nucleotide long non-coding RNA. RefSeq annotates it as RIKEN cDNA 1700026J12 gene. The transcript has 10 exons. The record is from RefSeq and is marked validated. NCBI's taxonomy places the organism in Eukaryota, Metazoa, Chordata, Mammalia, Rodentia, Muridae.
AGCAGUUCGGGGUAAUAACUACCUCCAUAUGUGGCCCGUGGUGGCAGCGCUUCUUUUGGGUUCUUUUCACUGUGGUUUGGCACAGCUAACCUUUAAAAAUAUUAACUCUGUAAAGGCUAGCAACUGCAGCAGAAUUGUUCUUAUUCCAUGCUAUGUCUCCAACAUAGAGGCACAAGACAUCAAUGAAUUAUUUUUGAAGUGGAAAUUUGGACAAGAUAUAAUUUUUGUCUUUGAUGGGCAUGCAAACAAAUCUACAACUUAUACGUUUCCAAGUGCACAAAUUUUCCCCUCCGAAUUUCUAAAAGGAAAUGCAUCUUUGACGUUGGCUAAGAAUGAAGCUAAAGCAGGAAACUACACAUGUGAAGUGACAGAAUUGAGCAGGGAGGGGAAACACACUGUGGAGCUAAAAUAUAGUGAUGUCUGCACUCCACCAAUUAGCGGUUUCAAAGGAGGAAGUGUGCUACUCAGUCUCAUCUGGGUUCUCCUGUCUUUGACCAAGGUUCAUGGUUUACUUUAAGUGAAAAUAUUCCCAUUAUUAUUUUCCCAUUUUUGACUGUACUUCUGUUCUGGGCACAGUUUGGUAUUUUAAUGCAAAAAUAUAAAUCCAACCCUGUGAAUAGGAAAAUUCUUAUUUUAUCUACUUCUGGACUAUUGUUCACCAUAAUUGUCACUGUUGGAGCCGCCCUUUAUAUCCCAGGUAAUUAUUCAAAAAGGAAAGGCUAUGGGCUUAUUUUCUUCAUUAGUCCUUCAGUGAUCCCUGUGUUCCUUCAGUACCAUAAGUUUAAGCCAGCUAUCGGGAGGACCCUCCAGGCUGUGAUCAUGUUCACCAUUGCUCAAGGACUGGGUGCUGUACUCACUCUGGCGGGACUAUAUCUCACUGCAUCUGACUGUGUACCAAAAUACGGCCUCCUUCUAAUUUCAGGUUUGGCCAUAAUAACUCUAGUGGAAUUAUUUGGACUAAUUUAUAUGAAAUGGCUUGACCCAAUGAUAGGGUUUCCAUAAGACACAAAAGUGCAGGCAGCGCUGUCUUUGUUCCCGAGUUUCACACUUUGUCUCACUGGCUCUCAAGGAAUACUAAAUCCAACCAUCUCUAGUCCAGAGCAAGAUGCCAGACGUUCCAAGUGCCACUGGGUCACCUUGCUUUUCUCAUCGCUGAAGCCAGCUGAUUGCUCUCCAAGGAUACUGUUUUGCCCAAGGCAGUGUGGACUUUGACAUUCCUUCAAGUUUCAACUAGAAUAUUGACUAGAGGCUAGUUUGUAGACGUAUUACUUUGUAAAAAGUGUCAACUCCUUGAUUGUAACAGAAAACAAUAAAAACAUUAAAAAUCCA